RNAcentral lists this long non-coding RNA (252 nucleotides) under Fukomys damarensis (Damara mole-rat). RNAcentral describes it as "lncRNA (ENSFDAG00000024030.1)". The record is from RNAcentral. Lineage: Eukaryota; Metazoa; Chordata; Mammalia; Rodentia; Bathyergidae.
UACUCACAAUGCAAUUAAUAACCAGGUGUCCUCCCUAUUUAACACAGAGAGGACUUCGAAGAUUAACCUACAAAUUGAAGUAGAAGGGGACUAUUUCUCCAGUAACAAGCAGCAAAAGAAAAUAAAGUACUUAUUAGCCUGGGAUGACAAAGAGGGAAUUCAACUUAAGAGAAUUCUGCAAGUGGAAAGAGCAUGCACCCCGCUUGGGGGUUAGCCCACGAAACAAAUGAUCAAUUUAAAGUAGGCACAGAA